GAUGAACGCUGGCGGCGUGCCUAAUACAUGCAAGUCGAGCGAACAGAUAAGGAGCUUGCUCCUUUGACGUUAGCGGCGGACGGGUGAGUAACACGUGGGUAACCUACCUAUAAGACUGGGAUAACUUCGGGAAACCGGAGCUAAUACCGGAUAACAUUUGGAACCGCAUGGUUCUAAAGUGAAAGAUGGUUUUGCUAUCACUUAUAGAUGGACCCGCGCCGUAUUAGCUAGUUGGUAAGGAAACGGCUUACCAAGGCGACGAUACGUAGCCGACCUGAGAGGGUGAUCGGCCACACUGGAACUGAGACACGGUCCAGACUCCUACGGGAGGCAGCAGUAGGGAAUCUUCCGCAAUGGGCGAAAGCCUGACGGAGCAACGCCGCGUGAGUGAUGAAGGGUUUCGGCUCGUAAAACUCUGUUAUUAGGGAAGAACAAACGUGUAAGUAACUGUGCACGUCUUGACGGUACCUAAUCAGAAAGCCACGGCUAACUACGUG
Molecule: ribosomal RNA, 497 nt
Filed under: uncultured bacterium
Lineage: Bacteria
Description: partial 16S ribosomal RNA
Rfam family: Bacterial small subunit ribosomal RNA
Source: RNAcentral